CUACGGGUUGCAGCAGUGAGGAAUAUUGCACAAUGGGGGGAACCCUGAUGCAGCAACGCCGCGUGGAGGAUGACGCAUUUCGGUGUGUAAACUCCUUUUAUAUGUCAAGAAAAUGACGGUAGCAUAUGAAUAAGCACCGGCUAACUCCGUGCCAGCAGCCGCGGUAAUACGGAGGGUGCAAGCGUUACUCGGAAUCACUGGGCGUAAAGGACGCGUAGGCGGGUUGGAAAGUCAGGUGUGAAAUCCUACAGCUUAACUGUAGAACUGCACUUGAAACUUCUAAUCUAGAGUAUGGGAGGGGGAGAUGGAAUUAGUGGUGUAGGGGUAAAAUCCGUAGAUAUCACUAGGAAUACCUAAAGCGAAGGCGAUCUCCUGGAACAUUACUGACGCUAAGGCGUGAAAGUGUGGGAGCAAACAGGAUUAGAUACCCGUGUAGUC
RNAcentral lists this ribosomal RNA (438 nucleotides) under uncultured bacterium. Its description in RNAcentral is "partial 16S ribosomal RNA". It matches the Rfam family "Bacterial small subunit ribosomal RNA", at positions 339 to 795 of the family's 1533-position model. The record is from RNAcentral.